This is a non-coding RNA of Chelonoidis abingdonii (Abingdon island giant tortoise), 632 nucleotides long. Lineage: Eukaryota; Metazoa; Chordata; Testudines; Testudinidae. The record is from RefSeq and is a predicted model, not a curated record.
GACACAUUGAGCUCCAUCUUGUUGGAGGGGACAGUGACUGCUCAGGACGUGUGGAAGUAAGACAUAAAGACAACUGGGCUACAAUCUGUGAUGCACACUUUGAUCUCAAAGCUGCCAGUGUUAUCUGUAAUGCACUACAGUGUGGAACAGCUUUAUCUAUCCCAGAGGGAGCUCACUUCAGAAAAGGCCAUGGACCAAUCUGGACUGAGGAAUUUCAGUGCGUAGGGAAUGAGUCACACCACGUGUACUGUCCCAGAGUAUCACACGGGAGUCAGAUGUGCUCACAUGCAAAUGAUGCCAGUAUCAUAUGCUCACGGUUCCGGCUGGUGAAUGGCAGCUCACCGUGCUCAGGGAGGGUGGAGAUCCAGGUUCUUGGUGCCUGGGGAACCCUCUGUGACUUUCACUGGGAUUUACCAGAUGCCAACGUUCUCUGUCAUCAGCUCGACUGCGGAUUCGCUAUUUCAGCCCCAGGAGAAGCGCAUUUUGGGAAGGGAAAUGGCUCUAUCUGGACAGACACAUUUCACUGUAAAGGGAAUGAGCCUCAUUUACGACAUUGCCCUGUUACUGCCCUGGGGGCCUCUCAGUGCUCACAUGACAAUGACGCUAGUGUGGUUUGCUCAGGUCACUCAGAA